Molecule: unclassified non-coding RNA, 1151 nt
Filed under: Portunus trituberculatus (swimming crab)
Lineage: Eukaryota; Metazoa; Arthropoda; Malacostraca; Decapoda; Portunidae
Description: plasmanylethanolamine desaturase-like, transcript variant X2
Source: RNAcentral
GGAAGGAAGAAGAGGAAGAGGAGGCGAGAGAGCGAGAGAGAGAGAGAGGGAGAGGUAGACACUAGACAGGCAGACAGACAGACAGUGAGGGGCGCUGAGGCCAGGAAAGAUGGCUGCCUGUGUUUUGAGUCCCGUAAAGACCGAGGCACAAAUCCUUCACAAUUCCAUGCUAGAGGAGGACCCGAACGAUAAUUCCGCCACAAAUGAGGAGGAGAAGAUAAAGCCUCGCUGGGGGCCAUACCACAAGGGCGCCAAGGAGCUCGCCAGUCUCUACAGCAGGGGUAAGCGUACCCAGGAGAUCGUGUGUGUGUGCAUCUGUAUCACGCUGAUGGUGGUCAAUCUGUACUUCAUGGCGGUGCACUUCAAGUUUGAGAAGGUCACCUCUAUCUUCCUGGUGGCGCUGGCCGGCAUCUUCACUGCAGACUUUGCCUCGGGCCUGGUGCACUGGAUGGCUGACACCUGGGGCUCUGUGGAGCUGCCCGUGCUGGGAAAGAACUUCAUCCGGCCAUUCCGAGAGCACCACAUUGACCCGACCUCCAUCACGCGACACGACUUCAUAGAGACCAACGGGGACAACUUCAUGCUCACCAUCCCCGGCCUCACCUACAUCACCUGGAACUUCUGCUCCCAAAGUAACGAGGAGGUGCAGAGUAACUACUACUGGUUCGCAUAUCUCUACCUCCUCGCCCUCUUUGUCGCCCUCACUAACCAGAUACACAAGUGGUCUCACACAUAUUUUGGCUUGCCACGCUGGGUCACCAUAUUGCAGGACCUGCACAUCAUCCUUCCCAAGAGGCACCACCGCAUUCACCACGUGGCUCCCCAUGAGACCUACUUCUGUAUAACCACGGGCUGGCUCAAUCUCCCCCUGGAAAAAGUUCGGUUCUGGCCAGCGCUGGAGUACUUGAUAGAGCUGGUCACUGGUUGCCGCCCCAGAGCAGAUGACUUCAAGUGGGCCCAGAAGCGAGAGUGACGUCCGGGUGUGGUGGCGCCACGCGGUAGACACAAGCCACUGCCUCCCACUUCUAUAUGGAGUGUUCGGCUUAGAGAAGUGACGCACAAGGGAUUACACGAAGGGAACAGUAUUGGUAGACAACUGAUGAUACUACUACUACUACUACUACUACUGUUUCUACCGUAGGUACUAUUAC